RNAcentral lists this ribosomal RNA (628 nucleotides) under uncultured Sphingobium sp. RNAcentral's name for it is "bacterial SSU rRNA". It matches the Rfam family "Bacterial small subunit ribosomal RNA", at positions 8 to 682 of the family's 1533-position model. Lineage: Bacteria; Pseudomonadati; Pseudomonadota; Alphaproteobacteria; Sphingomonadales; Sphingobiaceae. The record is from RNAcentral.
AGAGUUUGAUCCUGGCUCAGAACGAACGCUGGCGGCAUGCCUAAUACAUGCAAGUCGAACGAGCCCUUCGGGGUUAGUGGCGCACGGGUGCGUAACGCGUGGGAAUCUGCCCUUGGGUUCGGAAUAACGUCUGGAAACGGACGCUAAUACCGGAUGAUGACGAAAGUCCAAAGAUUUAUCGCCCAGGGAUGAGCCCGCGUAGGAUUAGCUAGUUGGUGAGGUAAAGGCUCACCAAGGCGACGAUCCUUAGCUGGUCUGAGAGGAUGAUCAGCCACACUGGGACUGAGACACGGCCCAGACUCCUACGGGAGGCAGCAGUAGGGAAUAUUGGACAAUGGGGGCAACCCUGAUCCAGCAAUGCCGCGUGAGUGAUGAAGGCCUUAGGGUUGUAAAGCUCUUUUACCCGGGAUGAUAAUGACAGUACCGGGAGAAUAAGCCCCGGCUAACUCCGUGCCAGCAGCCGCGGUAAUACGGAGGGGGCUAGCGUUGUUCGGAAUUACUGGGCGUANAGCGCACGUANGCGGCGAUUUAAGUCAGAGGUGAAAGCCCGGGGCUCAACCCCGGAAUAGCCUUUGAGACUGGAUUGCUUGAACAUCGGAGAAGUGAGUGGAAUUCCGAGUGUAAAGGU